This 109-nucleotide ribosomal RNA is filed under the name Scophthalmus maximus (turbot). Lineage: Eukaryota; Metazoa; Chordata; Actinopteri; Pleuronectiformes; Scophthalmidae. The record is from RNAcentral.
GCUUACGGCCACACCGCCUGGUAUACGCUUGAUCUCGGAAGAUAAGGUAGGUUGGGCCUGGUUAGUACUUGGAUGGGAGACCGCCUGGGAAUACCAGGUGCUGUAAACU